UCCCUCUAUUUUGACUCCAGCAUCUAUGGAUAUAAGAGCUAAUGUAAGUACCGAUGUUAGGACUCUUUCCAUCCCAUCUCGAUGUAUUGUGGGGUCCAUUGAAAAAUUCUAUUUAGAUGUGGUGGAAAAAAGUGGUGACAAACUAAAUGGUGAUAAUUGGUGCACCCAAGCAUGCCAUUAGCAUUGCAUCAAUUGGAAGGUGAUCGAAAGAGAAAGAGACUA
This 222-nucleotide long non-coding RNA is filed under the name Elaeis guineensis (African oil palm). RNAcentral's name for it is "long non-coding RNA (EGUI_LNC041765)". Lineage: Eukaryota; Viridiplantae; Streptophyta; Magnoliopsida; Arecales; Arecaceae. The record is from RNAcentral.